This 492-nucleotide ribosomal RNA is filed under the name uncultured bacterium. RNAcentral's name for it is "partial 16S ribosomal RNA". It matches the Rfam family "Bacterial small subunit ribosomal RNA", at positions 29 to 507 of the family's 1533-position model. The record is from RNAcentral.
AGUGAACGCUGGCGGUAGGCCUAACACAUGCAAGUCGAACGGCAGCACAGUAAGAGCUUGCUCUUACGGGUGGCGAGUGGCGGACGGGUGAGGAAUACAUCGGAAUCUACUUUUUCGUGGGGGAUAACGUAGGGAAACUUACGCUAAUACCGCAUACGGCCUACGGGUGAAAGCAGGGGAUCUUCGGACCUUGCGCGAUUGAAUGAGCCGAUGUCGGAUUAGCUAGUUGGCGGGGUAAAGGCCCACCAAGGCGACGAUCCGUAGCUGGUCUGAGAGGAUGAUCAGCCACACUGGAAGUGAGACACGGACCAGACUCCUACGGGAGGCCGCAGUGGGGAAUAUUGGACAAUGGGCGCAAGCCUGAUCCAGCCAUACCGCGUGGGUGAAGAAGGCCUUCGGGUUGUAAAGACCUUUUGUUGGGAAAGAAAAGCAGCAGGUUAAUACCCCGCUGUUCUGACGGUACCCAAAGAAUAAGCACCGGCUAACUUCGUG